GUUGAAACACCAGUUCCCAUACAAUGACUGAAAUUAAACAAUGUCAAGCCUGGUCAGUAGCUAGAUGGGUGACCACUUGGGAAUAUCAGGUGCUGUAA
Molecule: non-coding RNA, 98 nt
Organism: Acanthosepion pharaonis
Lineage: Eukaryota; Metazoa; Mollusca; Cephalopoda; Sepiida; Sepiidae
Source: the annotation of a GenBank genome assembly